GCGUCCAAGCUGUUAGGGUCGCUCCCUACGGCGCAUGCGCUGUGGCUCACCCACGCCGUAGGUCUUGCUAUGGGUUUAUUAAGAAAACGCAAACGCGCGUGAGGCGUGGGGCGUGGGGCGUGGAGGACAACUAACUAGGCUGACCUGUAAAAGCAGAGGAAAUUGGAACCUGGAAAGUUCUGAAGAAGGACUGCUUAGUGUGCCUCUUUAGUCAACAUGAAAAAGAAGAAAAGAACAAGCAACUGAAGGAUCCUCUGAUGGCCUCAAGGCAGUGGAUUGAGAAUAUCUCUUAAGUACAAGGAGGUAUUCUAGGAUACUGAAGCCUGGGAAUUGAAUUCACUGUUACCCACACGCUGGCCUUGACAGGGAAAGACCCUGGAUUAUCUUCAGAAUCAAGCCUUCAUUACUGAGAUAAAGUGAAAGAGACUUU
Molecule: long non-coding RNA, 430 nt
Filed under: Piliocolobus tephrosceles (Ugandan red Colobus)
Lineage: Eukaryota; Metazoa; Chordata; Mammalia; Primates; Cercopithecidae
Description: lncRNA (ENSPTEG00000020106.1)
Source: RNAcentral